CCUACGGGAGGCAGCAGUGAGGAAUAUUGGUCAAUGGCCGGAAGGCUGAACCAGCCAUGCCGCGUGAAGGGCAGGGACCUAUGGGCGUUAAACUUCUUUUGUGCGGGAGCAAUAAUGGUCACGUGUGGCCAGACGAGAGUACCGUACGAAUAAGCAUCGGCUAACUACGUUCCAGCAGCCGCGGUAAUACGUAGGGAGCGAGCGUUGUCCGGAAUUACUGGGUGUAAAGGGAGCGUAGGCGGGACUGCAAGUUGGGUGUCAAAUCUACCGGCUCAACCGGUAGGCGCACUCGAAACUGCAGUUCUUGAGUGAAGUAGAGGCAGGCGGAAUUCCUAGUGUAGCGGUGAAAUGCGUAGAUAUUAGGAGGAACACCAGUGGCGAAGGCGGCCUGCUGGGCUUUUACUGACGCUGAGGCUCGAAAGUGUGGGGAGCAAACAGGAUUAGAUACCCGGGUAGUC
This 458-nucleotide ribosomal RNA is filed under the name uncultured bacterium. RNAcentral's name for it is "partial 16S ribosomal RNA". It matches the Rfam family "Bacterial small subunit ribosomal RNA", at positions 338 to 795 of the family's 1533-position model. The record is from RNAcentral.